Molecule: transfer RNA, 39 nt
Filed under: Spinulum canadense
Lineage: Eukaryota; Viridiplantae; Streptophyta; Lycopodiopsida; Lycopodiales; Lycopodiaceae
Description: partial tRNA-Leu
Source: RNAcentral
AAAAUUCGUUGGCUUUAUAGACCGUGAGGGUUCGAGUCC